This is a long non-coding RNA of Marmota monax (woodchuck), 4265 nucleotides long. RefSeq lists it as uncharacterized. The record is from RefSeq and is a predicted model, not a curated record. The transcript is spliced from 3 exons. Lineage: Eukaryota; Metazoa; Chordata; Mammalia; Rodentia; Sciuridae.
CUCUAAGGAAUAAGGAAGGACUCCAGGCAGAGCUCAAGGUAGCUUUUUCUUACCCAGGGCUUAAUUUGCGUUGGAUGAAUGGUUUUUACAGAGACUGCAUGAAAGGCUGAUGGACAAGAUGCCUGUCCGGGUUCCCUUUGUGACUCUCAGAAAUUGUACUGAGGGGACCCUGCUGGGGCCCUUUAUGACUACUCUCCCUUUGGCUGAUUUCCAGACUGAAUAGACACCUCCCCCGCACAAACCCAGCUCUGUGCCCAGAAAACAAUGUCAGGUCAGGCCACUGGAAAAUGGGGAGCAAAUGCCUUUUAGAUGUGAUUCAAGACAAAAUCAGGUAUCUAGAUUGGAUCCCAAGGCCCUGCUCUGAGAAGUCUGGCUCCUAACCAGCCGGACAGAUGACAGUCUGCUGGCAUUUGAAAUGAGGAGACUGGGCAAAGAGCAUUGUUUAGAAGUUGGAAAGCAUGGAGUUGAUUUUAGAUGUUAAUUAAGCUCUGUGACCUCCUGUGAGUGCCUCUCUGAGUCUCUCCAUUUCCUUAUCUGUAAAACACAGGAAUAAUUUAGAUUUAGAAUGUUGGUCUUUAUUGGUUUACUGAGAUGGUAUAGGAUAGGAAGCAUGAAUGACGAGGGUUGGCUGGUGAGGCUAAUAUGCCUCAAGGACUAGGUAUGUCUCCAUCUAAUUUAGGUCUUGCAUGAAAUUGGAGGAGUGAACAAUGCUUACUUAGGUUCUGCUCUUUGUGGCACCCACCCCCCUCCCACCCUGCCCUCCAAGACAAGAGAGCGGAGGCAGGUUCUUUGCAGGAUGGAGCCUGGAUCAUCUAUGAAGAUAGAGAUCCUACAGCAUCACUUAGCCAAUCCAUUUUGGUAUUUAGCAGCCCUCAAAUCUGAAUGACCAUUAGGCACUAAGUCUGGGGAUGCUCUUUAGCAUCCCUGGCUGCCCCCCUCAGUCCCCUCCUCCUGGUCCACUAUCCAGCCUAUUUACCCUGCAGAACAGUUUGUUUCACAUCCUUUCUUCACAGGCCAGAAAGAGGUUGGAGGAAGUUGGGAGGCUGGCCUCAACUCCCUCUCCCCAUCCAAUAAGCCCAGCUCCUGGUUGUCAGUGAUCCCCCGGGGCCUGUCUGCUGCCGUGCUUGGAAUCAUCUGCUCCAGUGUGUUUGGCCGUGUAGAUUUGAAGAUAACCUGACAUGCUCUUAAAUAUUUCAUCUCUGAGCAGCCGUGCACCUUAUCUUCCAGACGUCGAGGCUGCACCCCAGCUGCUGACCCUGUCGUCACUGCUCCGUGGCAGCUGCCAAGAGGUGGCUGGGGCAGACUGGGGCAGACUGGGGCUUCCCUCUUCUGCCCGUCCAUGCUCCAUCCCCCAUGUGCCUGGCAAAGACUCAACCACAAGGAGCCAGGGAGGUGGUGCAAGGAGCCCUGGCCAGCAGAACCUGGGCCAGGCCCUCUGCUUCUCUGAGCCUCAGUUUCUUACCUGGGGUAACAAUCCCGGACCUUACGAGUGGCUCAGGAAUGGAAGAGGUGAUGUGUGUCAAGGGCUUUGAGAGUUACUGUGCACUGCUCUGCAAAUGUGAGCUGUUAUUAUUUAGGAGCAAAACCUGUUUUCCUGUAACACUGAUUCUCAGAACAUCUGACCAGAGGAGGGAGACUCCUGGGGACUGGACUCUCAAUCAGAAGUGGUUUAAGGGGUUAACAAGUGAGCCCAUCCCUGUCUUCAUGCAAGUCUGCCAGAAGGAAGGAGUGGAGACCUCUUCAGGAGAGCUGUCCCAGAGACAUGUGAAGAAAGAUCAAGGGGGAGAGGGAGAAGGGAUUGUGGAGCUGACCCCUGGCCCAGAAAGAGAUGGCCUUGUGGUGACUGGGACUGACAGGCUUUAUCUGCAGGGUAAGACCACCUUUGCUCCCUGCAUUUCCCUCCCUUCUCCCUUCCAGAACUUUCAUCGCCCCCUCCCCCCAGCAGCUUCAAGAACCUGUUUCUUUCAGGAGCUCAAAAUGUUAUUUCAGCUUCAACUAUCUGGCCUUUUCUUUGAGUCUCCUACUUUGAGGAUGGCGCCCAUGUUUCGGUACAUUAAUAAGCUUGUCUACUCCCCCUGUUAAUCUGUCUAUUGUCAGUUUAUGUCACAGGCUAAAAUUAUUAGACCCUCAGGAAAAAGAGAAGACUUUUCUUUUAGCUCAGGAGAGUUGGGUGGGGGUGGAGGAAUGUUGGUUAUUGCUCAGGGGCCCCAAUCUCCUGUAAGGAGCAAAAAAAAAAAAUCAGAGUUUCCCAGGGUGUCGGGGCAGGGUAUGCAUGUGCGUGUGUAUGUGUGUGCACAUGCGUGUGUGCAAAGAUGUUGUGGGUUUUAUGUUUAAUUGGAGCAAAGCCACUAUGAGGAAAGGAUAGAGAAGAAAUGGAAACGCUAAGUGCGGUCAGAUACAGCUGGGUUAUUGCUCUAGAAAGUGAAAUGCUCAGCACUGUGGUCUACUAAGAAGACAAGUGUUUUGAUAAGGAGACACGAUGGGGCGGGGGUGCAAGAGAGAAAGAAGCAAGCCAGACUCACAGAGAAAAGACGGAGUGAGAGAGUGAAGGGAGGAAAAACAAAAGAGAGAGAAAUAUUUGGAAAAGGAUCAAAGGUGAAUUUUGGGGAAAACUUUUGUUCCAGGAUGGACAGGAACAGAAAUCUACUGGGACCUGGGAACCUCAGGGCACUUUGAACCCUAAGAGGCCUUUUUCCAGUCUUUCCUACUACCCACCUCCAGAGCCCAAGGGCCUGAUUAAGCACUUGAGGCGCUCAGGACACUUAGGAAUUUGGGGCCCCUUCUACCACUGGCAAUGAAUAAUAGAUAAAUAAAAGUUUGAGGAUGAUAAAUCAUUGAUCAGCUUUCCUGCUGCUGUGUAGGGCUGAAUAUAAAUGCUAACUUAGUAAUAGCUGGCCAGGCUGGGCCAUUUCUCUCUCUCCUGGAUCUCCUUAGUCUGUCCCAGCAGGAUCCAUCUUCCAGGCAUCCCCUCACCCGAACUCUACCUUCCCCAGAAAACCUGUGUACCUUGGGCUUCACACAGACACCUGCACCCCCUCCUGGUUCUUCUCUGCCUCCACCCACCCUCCAACCGCCCACAUGGCUGCUCUUUCUGAAACACCUUUCCCAGGAUGAGGCAUUCUCAGAACAUCUCAGGAUUGGACACAUUUGGCCUUUUAAAGAAGAGACAAGGGCUAGAGAGACAGGGGGAGAGAGAAAGAGAAUGGACACAGAGAGACAUGCAAACACUUUUUCAAAUAUUCCCAAGUCCCGUGGUGUGGGUCAGAUGUGUUCUUUAGCUCUUCAGGACAGCAGUGACACCCACAGACAGCACGUCAAGAUAUCUGAGGAGACUAACAAGGAUUCAGUCCAGGCUGCCAAGAAGGGCAGUGAGUCCCCUUCCCCGGCUAUAGUCAAGCCACGGUUGGAUGCUCACCUCUCCAGGAUGCUGCUGGGGCGAUGUCUACACUGGAUGAAAGACUGGACUAGUGAAAUGAAGACAAUGCGAGGACGCCACAGCGAAGAUGAAGCAGAAUAGUGUCAAGUGCCUGGCGUAUUAAAGGUUAAUUUAAAUAAAAGACCACAGUGAGUUAGAGUGAAGCCUCCACCUUUGGGGCUAGCAGACAGGGUCCUGUGCAUUGGAGCUGGUUAUAUAAAUGACACGAUUUCUCUCUCUACUGUGACUCUGUUUAUCUAUUAAAUAAAGGGGAAAAUCCUUUUGUCCCUCUGGACAACUGUAGAUUUUGAGAUUAUAUCUGAGAAGUACUUGAAUUUCUUAGAAGAAAAAUGUUCUAUCCAUAUGAGGAAGUAUAUUUAUAAGUCAUUUUCUUUGACUGGUGUUUCCAGCCCUGAUGACCAGAAAGACACUGAGGUCUUCGGUGAGGGUCUCAUGCCUGGUACACGAAGUGGGGCAACAUGGUUCAAGUGGAAGUGGGCAGACCCCCCAUCAGGUAGAGCCCAACCCUGGGCCUCAGUUUCCCUCCAGGAAAACUUUCAAGGUGUUAAGUGUUCUUCAAGUGCUUGCUGAAAGGGAGUGGGUUCUGCCAUGCUAGGAGUGUUUAUUGAGAUGGAUAAGUAUCGAUCAUUAUUACCAGGUUGCAGUUCUGGGGACAAGUGAUCAAAUACAGAACAGGUACUUAUCAGGAGCUUGAUCUUGGGCUAUGUAGGAAGAGGGUCCAGCUUCUUCCUAUAACUGGAGACAAGUUGGAGAGGAAGCCGACCCCAGUUCCUCAGACCCAUUGUCCUUCAGCACCAAGCAGGCCUGGAGCCUGACCCCAGAAAGCCAU